GCUGAGUUCCUCCGGCAUUUUGUGUGUGUUGCUCACAAAGAUGAUCUCGGGAAUGAAAGUCUUGUCAUAUGAGGAGCAUUCGAUGACUCUGGGCCUCUCUCACUGGAAUUCUGAAGAAUGAGGCGGACCUCAUUGAAAACCUAUCAGGUGUUGAAAUUUCUCGAUGUGGAGAGGAUGUUUCCUGUGGUGACCCAGAGGACAGAGGCUCAGAAUAGAGAGGCAUCCUUUCAGAGUGGAGAUGAGGAGGAAUUUCUUUACCAAGGGAGUCGCUAAUCUGUGGGAUUUGUGGCCUCUGGACUGACCGUAAACGUCAGCCUAUGACGUACCACAAUUUCAUUCUCUCAUUGGUGUUACUCCCUGUUGUCGCUGUGCUGCCCGUGUGCGCGGUUGCCCAGUAUCUGAAACACUCCCACGCAGAUCGCAGUCGGUGCGGCGCUGAUGGAAUUUCCUUUCAUUGGAAGUGCCGUGCAGUGUUCAGGCCAUGCAGAAAGAUUCCUGCCCAGAACAGUGGCCAUGUUCCACAGCGCCACAAAGAGCCCGUGAUAUUACCUGGCUCAUCCGGGAGACUUUCCAAUGACUCUGACCCACCCACUCCAGCUGACUGACGGUGGUGAACCCAUCGAUGUCCAAGCUCUUGUCUCUCUGCUGCGAUCACAUGGACGGUACAAGAACCUCAGGACUCGCACCACCAGGUUCAGGGACAGCGGCUGCCAUCCCCAGGGACAGAUCCCUUCCCCAGUGAUCAGGAUCGUGAACAACAGAGGAUAAUUACACUGCCUUGUCCAUCCAUUGAGAUGUUCCCACAACCAAUGCUCGCACUUUAGCGAAUUUAUAUCUUGUUAUUUCACCUCCCGUUAUUUAUUGCUAUUUAUUUAUAUUUGUAUUUGCACAGUUUGUUUUCUUCUGGUUGAUAUUUCACUGAUGCCGUUAUAGGCACCAUUCUAUGGAUUUUCUGGCUAUUCCGCAGGUAAAUGAAUCUCGAGGUUGUUGGAUGUGCUUUGAUAAUAACAUUUGCUUUGCACUUUGAGUUUCAGGGAACGUCCCCCUGAUCCUGGGAACAAAUGGAGACUGACAUCUCCGGCUCCCGAGAGCGUCUUCAGACACACUCAGCCAAUCAGUGAACAUCGCUGUGUGCGGCAUUUUCUCAUUGGCGUAGGAGUGUAGAUGGGCAGGACGCUGAGCGCUGGGAGCAGCAUGUUCUCAUUGGCGGAGGAGUUUAGGUGGGCGGGACGCUGAGCUCACCGAACAUGGAACCGGGAGCGAGUGGAUCCGGGGAGAGGUGGCAGAUCGCGAGUUGUAUCUCGAGUAAAGGCUGCAACACCGGCCGGGUGUUUGAAUCCUUCCGAUAGCAGAUGUGAAGAGACUAUGAGAUGUUUCAGCUACACGGAGGGCGCCCGCCCUUUCCCCGCCGUGGAUCAGGGCUUAUUGUCUGGAGCUGUCUCCCAGACGGAAGCUACCCCGCAGCGGCUGCCGAUGGAUCUCCGGUGCAAUCCGAACAGCUGAAGGACAAAGGAGAACAAGGCGCAAAGUGCGGCCUUCUGGGAGUUGUAGUCAUUGGACCUCGCUCGCUCCCUGUCAAAGCAUGUUUCGUCAGCCACCACAGACGUCACCGAAACAGACCCACCGAGGCGCGAAGGGGAAUCACACCCGUCCUUGUGGGCGCCGAGGCCGGCGACACCGACAGAAGCGACUCGCUGAUCUCCGC
This is a long non-coding RNA of Hypanus sabinus (Atlantic stingray), 1705 nucleotides long. RefSeq lists it as uncharacterized. The transcript has 3 exons. NCBI's taxonomy places the organism in Eukaryota, Metazoa, Chordata, Chondrichthyes, Myliobatiformes, Dasyatidae. The record is from RefSeq and is a predicted model, not a curated record.